AGUGUCUGCGAGCGGAGCGCGAAGUUCUCGGCGCUCGUGGCAGCUACACCAUCCGCACCUGCGGCGACCACGCGCCCCCGCACCUGGUGCGGCUCGGUUGCGGCGUCCCGCUGUCCGCCAGGGUAUGGCGCGCGUGAAGACCGGGUCUCGCGGCCGCAAGGGCCGCCUGUGAGCCGGCGAGCAGAGGACCGAGUGGGAGCGCGAUCGCGCGCACGAUGCCUGUCCGGGCGGAGGCGAGAGCGGCUUGGCGCGCGGUGGCCCUGGCUAUGCUGCUGCUCCCCGCCGUGCUUGCAGCCAUUCCGCCGCGCCCCCUGCGCCCGCUGCAGCCGAGCAUGCCCCACGUGUGUGCCGAGCAGAAGCUGACCCUGGUGGGCCACCGCCAGCCCUGUGUGCAAGCCUUCAGUCGCAUCGUGCCUGUGUGGAGAGCAGGCUGUGGGCAGCAGGCAUGGUGCAUUGGCCAGGAGCGCAGGACUGUCUACUAUAUGAGCUAUAGGCAGGUGUAUGCCACGGAGGCCCGCACUGUGUUUAGGUGCUGUCCUGGGUGGAGCCAGAAGCCUGGCCAGGAGGGGUGCCUCUCAGAUGUUGACGAGUGUGCCAAUGCCAACGGGGGCUGUGAAGGUCCUUGCUGCAACACCGUGGGUGGUUUUUACUGCCGCUGUCCACCUGGCUUCCAGCUUCAGGGUGAUGGCAAAACCUGCCAAGAUGUGGAUGAGUGUCGUGCACACAACGGCGGCUGCCAGCAUAGGUGUGUGAAUACCCCUGGCUCUUACCUCUGUGAGUGCAAGCCUGGCUUCCGGCUCCACACAGAUGGCAGGACCUGCCUAGCCAUCAGCUCUUGCACUCUGGGAAAUGGUGGCUGCCAGCAUCAGUGUGUCCAGCUCACGGUGACGCAGCACCGCUGCCAGUGCCGGCCCCAGUACCAGCUGCAGGAGGAUGGCCGGCGCUGUGUCCGGAGAAACCCGUGUGAGGAUGGCAAUGGUGGCUGUAUGCACGUGUGCCAGGCACUCCGGGGUCUUGCCCACUGUGGCUGUCACACAGGUUACCAGCUUGCUGCAGACCGCAAGGCCUGUGAAGACGUGGACGAAUGUGCCACGGGGCUGGCCCAGUGUGCUCACGGCUGCCUCAACACCCAGGGAUCCUUUAAGUGUGUGUGCCACGCAGGCUACGAGCUGGGUGCCGAUGGCCGGCAGUGCUAUCGGAUCGAGAUGGAGAUUGUGAACAGCUGCGAGGCUGGCAAUGGUGGCUGCUCACAUGGCUGCAGUCACACUAGCACGGGACCCCUGUGCACCUGCCCUCAUGGUUACGAGUUGGAUGAAGACCAGAAGACCUGCAUUGACAUCGACGACUGUGCCAACUCCCCAUGCUGCCAGCAGGUGUGUGCCAACACCCCUGGUGGGUACGAGUGCAACUGCUACGCUGGCUACCGGCUCAGUCCUGAUGGCUGUGCGUGUGAGGAUGUUGAUGAGUGUGCCUCUGGUCAUAGCGGCUGUGAACAUCACUGUGCUAAUCUCGCUGGCUCCUUCCAGUGCUUCUGUGAGGCUGGUUACCGGCUGGACGAGGACCGCAGAGGCUGCACCCCCCUAGAAGAGUCCGUGGUAGACCUGGAUGGCCAGCUGCCCUUCGUGCGGCCCCUGCCCCACAUCGCGGUGCUGAGGGACGAGCUGCCACAACUCUUCCAGGACGACUAUGGGGCCGAGGAGGAGGCAGCAGAGUUGCGGGGAGAACACACGCUCACCGAGAAGUUUGUCUGCCUGGACCACUCCUUCGGCCAUGACUGCAGCCUGACUUGUGAUGACUGCAAGAAUGGAGGGACCUGCUUUCCGGGCCUGGGUGGCUGUGACUGCCCAGAGGGCUGGACAGGGAUCGUCUGCAAUGAGACUUGUCCUCCAGACACCUUCGGGAAGAACUGUAGCUCUCUUUGCACCUGUCAGAAUGGCGGGACCUGCGACCCCGUGUCAGGAGCCUGCCGCUGUCCCCCGGGUGUCAGUGGAGCCCACUGUGAGGAUGGCUGUCCCAAGGGCUUCUAUGGCAAACAUUGCCGUAAGAAAUGUCACUGUGCUAACCGGGGCCGAUGCCACCGCCUCUAUGGGGCCUGCCUCUGUGACCCAGGACUCUACGGCCGCUUCUGCCAUCUUGUCUGCCCUCCCUGGGCCUUUGGCCCCGGCUGUUCUGAGGAUUGCCGCUGUGAGCAGUCACACACACAGUCCUGUAACCCAAAGGACGGCAGCUGCUCCUGCAAGGCUGGCUUCUGGGGCGAGCGCUGCCAGGAAGCGUGUGAGCCAGGCUUCUUUGGGCCUGGCUGCAGGCACCAUUGCACCUGCCUGCCGGGUGUGGCCUGCGACCCUGUGAGCGGCGAGUGUAGGACGCAGUGUCCUCCUGGCUACCAGGGGGAGGACUGUAGCCAAGAGUGCCCAGUAGGAACGUUUGGUGUGAACUGCUCAGGUUCCUGCUCUUGUGUGGGGGCUCCCUGCCACCGGGUCACAGGACAGUGUCUGUGCCCACCGGGGAAGACCGGGGAGGACUGUGGAGCAGAUUGUCCCGAGGGCCGUUGGGGGCUUGGCUGUCAGGAGAUUUGCCCUGCGUGCGAACACGGUGCCCGCUGUGACCCUGGGACUGGAGUCUGCCUGUGCCUCCCUGGCUUUGUUGGUAGCCGCUGCCAGGAUGCUUGCCCAGCUGGCUGGUUUGGAACUGGCUGCCAGAUGAGGUGUGCUUGUGCCAAUGACGGACACUGCCACCCAGCCACUGGCCGCUGUAGCUGUGCUCCAGGGUGGACUGGUCUCAGCUGCCAGAGAGCCUGUGACAGCGGACGUUGGGGGCCCGAUUGCAUCCACGCUUGCAACUGCACUGCAGGCCACGGGAGCUGUGAUGCCAUCAGUGGCCUAUGCCUGUGCGAGGCUGGCUACGAAGGUCCUCGGUGUGAGCAGUGGUGUCGCCAGGGGUACUUUGGGCCUAACUGUGAACAGAAGUGCAAGUGUGAGCAUGGGGCAACCUGUGACCAUGUCAGUGGGGCCUGUACCUGCCCGGCUGGAUGGAGGGGAAGCUUCUGUGAACAUGCCUGUCCUGCUGGCUUCUUCGGGUUAGACUGUGCCCAUGCCUGUAACUGCUCCGCUGGGGCCACCUGCGAUGCUGUGACCGGCUCCUGCAUCUGCCCAGCUGGCCGCUGGGGCCCACACUGCGCCCAGACUUGCCCAUCCCUCACUUAUGGGCUUAACUGCAGCCAGAUUUGUACCUGUUUCAAUGGGGCCUCCUGUGACCCCGUCCAUGGGCAAUGCCUCUGUGCCCCUGGCUGGAUGGGACCCACCUGCCUGCAGGCCUGCCCUGCUGGCCUGCACGGCAAGGACUGUCAACAUUCCUGUCUGUGCCGCAACGGAGGGAGCUGUGACCCCAUCUCGGGCCAGUGCACCUGCCCAGAGGGCUGGACCGGCUUGGCCUGUGAGGAAGAGUGCCUUCCUGGACACUAUGGAGCUGGCUGUCAACUCAGCUGCAGUUGCCGUAACGGAGGCAUAUGUGACCGGCUCACAGGACACUGCCUCUGCCCAGCCGGCUGGACUGGGGACAAGUGUCAGAGCCCCUGUGCCAAGGGCACGUUUGGAGUUCACUGUGAAGAGCAUUGUACCUGCCGGAGAGGUGCCACCUGCCACCAUGUCACCGGGGCCUGCCUCUGUCCCCCAGGAUGGAGGGGCUCACAGUGCGAGGAUGCCUGCCCACGUGGCUGGUUUGGAGAGUCCUGUACACAGCGAUGCCGCUGCCCAUCUGGUGCCCCCUGCCACCAUGUUACUGGGGAGUGCCAUUGUCCCCCUGGCUUCACUGGACCUGGCUGUGAGCAGGCUUGCCAGCCUGGCACCUUUGGAAAGGACUGUGGGCACAUAUGCCAUUGUCCUGGUGAGACCUGGACCUGCCACCCUGCUUCAGGGGCCUGCGUAUGCGCUGCCGGUUACCAUGGCACCAACUGUCAGCAACGAUGCCCACCCGGGCACUAUGGGCCAGGCUGUGAACAAGUUUGUAAGUGUCUCAGUGGCGGCUCCUGCGACGCGGCCACGGGAGCUUGCGACUGCCCUGCUGGAUUCCUGGGGUCUGACUGCAGCCUCGCCUGUCCCCAGGGUCGCUUCGGCCCCGACUGUACCCAUGUGUGUGCGUGUGGGCAAGGGGCGGCCUGUGAUCCUGUGUCAGGGACUUGUGUCUGUUCUCCUGGGAAGACUGGAGUCCACUGUGAACAUGGGUGUCCCCAGAAUCGCUUUGGCAAGGGCUGUGAGCUUGAGUGUGCCUGCAGGAAUGGCGGCCUGUGUCAUGCUACUAACGGCAGCUGUUCCUGCCCGCUGGGCUGGAUGGGGCCACACUGUGAGCAGGCCUGCCCUGCUGGGCACUAUGGUGCCGCCUGCCUCCUCAAGUGCUCCUGUCAGAACAACGGCACCUGUGAGCCCACCACGGGGGCCUGCCACUGUGGUCCUGGCUUCUAUGGUCCAGCUUGUGAGCACUCCUGCCCCCCUGGCUUCUACGGAUCUGGUUGCCAGGGAGUCUGUGAGUGUCAACAGGGAGCCUCCUGCGACCCUGUCAGCGGCCAAUGCCUCUGCCCCGCUGGCUUCCACGGCCAGUUCUGCGAGAAGGGGUGCCAGCCAGGCUUUUUUGGAGACGGCUGCCAGCAGCAGUGUGACUGCCAGAAAGGGGUGCCCUGUGAUCCCGCCAGCGGCCUCUGCCUUUGCCCACCGGGGCGUACAGGAGCCACAUGUAACCUGGAUUGCAGAAGGGGCCACUUUGGGCCUGGCUGUGCCCUGCACUGUGACUGUGGGGGUGGGGCUGACUGCGACCCCAUCAGUGGGCGGUGCCAUUGUGUGGACGGCUACACAGGGCCCACUUGCCGGGAAGUGGCCACACAGCCGUCCUCCGGCAGACCGGCACCCCAACAACCCAGCAGCAGGGCCAUGAAGCAUUAGCCCAUGGAACGCCCACAAAGGACCACUACCGUGUUCCAGCCCAAGGGACCGAGAGGACAUGUGUGGAUAUAGGAAUCCUGGACCCACGCCUCCUCCGGAAAGCGAUGGAUCUCUGUGGAGGGCUGUGGAUGGUCACACAGCUACCUACCAAAGCCUCAUGGCCAGGGGAAGAUGGCUGUGGUGAACACAAGGAGCCCAGGGAAGAGGACCAAGCCUCAGGCCUCCAUGUACACGGGCACCCUGUGGGCUGUGCUGAAGAAUCCUGGCUCUCUUUAGGGACCUGGGUUGGGACCAAGGCAGGAGUAGGUGAGGCCCCACCUGCCUGACAGGUCCUUCUGGUGCUAAGGCCACGGACCGCUGCAGCCAGCCAACUGUUUACCUGGAAACGCCGUCCGGCCCGUAUUUAUGUAAAGGUUCACCCAUGAUUCUAAUUUGGAAAUAACCUGGGAGGAGCUCUGGAGGAAGCCGUGGGAGACCACGCAGCACAGUUCCUACAGUGCCAUCACGAAGAGAACUGAAGUUGGCCUUGUAACCCGGGUUGCAGGUCAACUGCAGACUGGUUCACCAUGGGGGAGGUGUGAGAGAAGUCAGAGACCGGGCAUCGCUGGUCCCGUGAGUAACAGGCCAGGAGGCAGCAGCUGCAGCCAGCACAGGAGGUGAUGGAGUGGUCCAGGGACAGGAAGAACUAGGGAAGGGAAAGGGCAGGCUAACAGGGCCUAAGCAGACAUAGAUCCAGAUUGCACUAAAAAUCCUAUGAUCUCAGCUGGCAAGGCAGCUCAGGGGGAAAGGCACCUGCUGCCAAGCCUGACAGCCUGAGCCUGCUUUCCAUAUGGUGGAAGGGGAUUGGUGACUUCUGCAGGUUGUCCUCUG
RNA transcript from Chionomys nivalis (European snow vole), 5801 nucleotides. It is a transcript of the gene named multiple EGF like domains 6, with no coding region annotated. The record is from RefSeq and is a predicted model, not a curated record. The transcript is spliced from 38 exons. NCBI's taxonomy places the organism in Eukaryota, Metazoa, Chordata, Mammalia, Rodentia, Cricetidae.